This 243-nucleotide long non-coding RNA is filed under the name Gossypium raimondii (Peruvian cotton). RNAcentral's name for it is "long non-coding RNA (GRAI_LNC002518)". Lineage: Eukaryota; Viridiplantae; Streptophyta; Magnoliopsida; Malvales; Malvaceae. The record is from RNAcentral.
GUGGAUCAAAACAAAAACAACAGAGGCAUGAUAGUGUAUAGGAAAUUGACAUGGCAAGGGCCCAUACCUCUCCAGUCCGUUUAGGUACUUGUCAUAGACAGAGAAAUGAAGCCGACCACCUGUUGAGAUGGUAAGAACCUCAAAAAGAUUUUCACAAAUAAUCACAUUGGCAAUGAUUGGAACUGCAGGAGCUAUUCGAGAGAAAGCCUCUAUCCCGAUUCACAGAUCAUCAUCUAACUGCAU